RNAcentral lists this ribosomal RNA (387 nucleotides) under uncultured bacterium. RNAcentral describes it as "bacterial SSU rRNA". It matches the Rfam family "Archaeal small subunit ribosomal RNA", at positions 339 to 726 of the family's 1478-position model. The record is from RNAcentral.
GCACGAAAACUUUACAAUGCUGGCAACAGCGAUAAGGGAACCUCGAGUGCCAGGUUACAAAUCUGGCUGUCGAGAUGCCUAAAAAGCAUUUCAUAGCAAGGGCCGGGCAAGACCGAUGCCAGCCGCCGCGGUAACACCGGCGGCUCGAGUGGUAACCGUUAUUAUUGGGUCUAAAGGGUCUGUAGCCGGCCGGAUAAGUCUCUUGAGAAAUCUGGCAGCUUAACUGUCAGGCUUUCAGGAGAUACUGUCUGGCUCGAGGCCGGGAGAGGUGAGAGGUACUUCAGGGGUAGGGGUGAAAUCUUGUAAUCCUUGAAGGAUCACCAGUGGCGAAGGCGUCUCACCAGAACGGACCUGACGGCAAGGGACGAAAGCUAGGGGCACGAACCG